This 300-nucleotide ribosomal RNA is filed under the name Triticum aestivum (bread wheat). RNAcentral describes it as "partial small subunit ribosomal RNA". The record is from RNAcentral. Lineage: Eukaryota; Viridiplantae; Streptophyta; Magnoliopsida; Poales; Poaceae.
AUGAAGUUCUCUUCCAUCUUUUUCCUGUUUCUCAUUUACUUUCUUUGUGUUUGUAUAGGUUUACUUAUUUAUCUUAAAUUCUGGUUUUUAAAAUUCAUUCGUGAUUUCGGAAAAAUGUUGACAAACUACCACGCGUGGGAAAAUAUUUGGCCCGUGCAACAUGGCACUCUUGCCUCUCAUAAUCAAAUUCACACACGCAGACUUUACCAAAACAGUACACAAUUAUGUAACAUGCCUUUGGUUUGCUGUCUUUCUGAGCUCACCAACCAUAGGCACAAGAAACAUAUAUAUUGGCUGUAA